CCUACGGGUGGCUGCAGUGGGGAAUAUUGGACAAUGGGCGAAAGCCUGAUCCAGCCAUGCCGCGUGUGUGAAGAAGGCCUUCGGGUUGUAAAGUACUUUCAGUGGGGAAGAAAGCCUUGGGGCUAAUACCCUCGAGGAAGGACAUCACCCACAGAAGAAGCACCGGCUAACUCCGUGCCAGCAGCCGCGGUAAUACGGAGGGUGCGAGCGUUAAUCGGAAUUACUGGGCGUAAAGCGCGCGUAGGCGGUCUGAUAAGCCGGUUGUGAAAGCCCCGGGCUCAACCUGGGAACGGCAUCCGGAACUGUCAGGCUAGAGUGCAGGAGAGGGAGGUAGAAUUCCCGGUGUAGCGGUGAAAUGCGUAGAGAUCGGGAGGAAUACCAGUGGCGAAGGCGGCCUUCUGGACUGACACUGACGCUGAGGUGCGAAAGCGUGGGUAGCAAACAGGAUUAGAUACCCGUGUAGUC
RNAcentral lists this ribosomal RNA (465 nucleotides) under Vreelandella stevensii. RNAcentral describes it as "partial 16S ribosomal RNA". It matches the Rfam family "Bacterial small subunit ribosomal RNA", at positions 338 to 795 of the family's 1533-position model. Lineage: Bacteria; Pseudomonadati; Pseudomonadota; Gammaproteobacteria; Oceanospirillales; Halomonadaceae. The record is from RNAcentral.